Molecule: ribosomal RNA, 484 nt
Filed under: uncultured bacterium
Lineage: Bacteria
Description: partial 16S ribosomal RNA
Rfam family: Bacterial small subunit ribosomal RNA
Source: RNAcentral
AGUGAACGCUGGCGGCAUGCCUUACACAUGCAAGUCGAACGGCAGCACGGGAGCAAUCCUCGCGGCGAGUGGCGAACGGGUGAGUAAUACAGCGGAACGUGCCCAGCAGUGGGGGAUAAGCCGGUAAAAGCCGGACUAAUACCGCAUACGACCUACGGGCGAAAGCGGGGGAUCGCAAGAUCUCGCGCCAUCGGACGGGCGGAUGUCAGAUUAGCUAGUUGGUGGGGUAAAGGCCUACCAAGGCGACGAUCUGUAGCUGGUCUGAGAGGACGACCAGCCACACUGGGACUGAGACACGGCCCAGACUCCUACGGGAGGCAGCAGUGGGGAAUUUUGGACAAUGGGCGCAAGCCUGAUCCAGCCAUGCCGCGUGCGGGAAGAAGGCCUUCGGGUUGUAAACCGCUUUUGUCAGGGAAGAAACGCUCCGGGCUAAUACCACGGAGUAAUGACGGUACCUGAAGAAUAAGCACCGGCUAACUACGUG